UGAACGCUAGCGGCAGGCUUAACACAUGCAAGUCGAGGGGUAACAUUGUGCUUGCACAGAUGACGACCGGCGCACGGGUGCGUAACGCGUAUAGAACCUACCUUUUACAGAGGAAUAGCCUUUAGAAAUGAAGAUUAAUGCCUCAUAGUAUUGUAGACUGGCAUCAGUUUAUAAUUAAAGAUUUAUCGGUAAAAGAUGGCUAUGCGUCCUAUUAGUUAGUUGGUAAGGUAACGGCUUACCAAGACAGCGAUAGGUAGGGGUCCUGAGAGGGAGAUCCCCCACACUGGUACUGAGACACGGACCAGACUCCUACGGGAGGCAGCAGUGAGGAAUAUUGGACAAUGGAGGAGACUCUGAUCCAGCCAUGCCGCGUGUAGGAAGAAUGCCCUAUGGGUUGUAAACUACUUUUAUACAGGAAGAAACACUGGUAUGUAUACCAGCUUGACGGUACUGUAAGAAUAAGGACCGGCU
RNAcentral lists this ribosomal RNA (471 nucleotides) under uncultured Polaribacter sp. Its description in RNAcentral is "bacterial SSU rRNA". It matches the Rfam family "Bacterial small subunit ribosomal RNA", at positions 30 to 498 of the family's 1533-position model. The record is from RNAcentral. Lineage: Bacteria; Pseudomonadati; Bacteroidota; Flavobacteriia; Flavobacteriales; Flavobacteriaceae.